RNAcentral lists this ribosomal RNA (498 nucleotides) under uncultured bacterium. RNAcentral describes it as "partial 16S ribosomal RNA". It matches the Rfam family "Bacterial small subunit ribosomal RNA", at positions 30 to 523 of the family's 1533-position model. The record is from RNAcentral.
AUUGAACGCUGGCGGCAUGCCUUACACAUGCAAGUCGAACGGUAACAGGUCUUCGGAUGCUGACGAGUGGCGAACGGGUGAGUAAUACAUCGGAACGUGCCCGAUCGUGGGGGAUAACGCAGCGAGAGCUGUGCUAAUACCGCAUACGAUCUACGGAUGAAAGCGGGGGAUCGCAAGACCUCGCGCGGACGGAGCGGCCGAUGGCAGAUUAGGUAGUUGGUGGGGUAAAGGCUCACCAAGCCUGCGAUCUGUAGCUGGUCUGAGAGGACGACCAGCCACACUGGGACUGAGACACGGCCCAGACUCCUACGGGAGGCAGCAGUGGGGAAUUUUGGACAAUGGGCGCAAGCCUGAUCCAGCCAUGCCGCGUGCAGGAUGAAGGCCUUCGGGUUGUAAACUGCUUUUGUACGGAACGAAAAGACUCUUUCUAAUAAAGAGGGUUCAUGACGGUACCGUAAGAAUAAGCACCGGCUAACUACGUGCCAGCCGCCGCGGUAA